Molecule: ribosomal RNA, 500 nt
Filed under: uncultured bacterium
Lineage: Bacteria
Description: bacterial SSU rRNA
Rfam family: Bacterial small subunit ribosomal RNA
Source: RNAcentral
UCCUGGCUCAGAUUGUAACGCUGGCGGCGAUGCCUUACACAUGCAAGUCGAACGGCAGCACGGGAGGCUUGCUCCUGGUGGCGAGUGGCGAACGGGUGAGUAAUACAUCGGAACGUACCCUGAAGUGGGGGAUAACGUAGCGAAAGUUACGCUAAUACCGCAUAUUCUGUGCGCAGGAAAGCAGGGGAUCGCAAGACCUUGCGCUGAUUGAGCGGCCGAUAUCAGAUUAGCUAGUUGGUGGGGUAAAGGCCUACCAAGGCGACGAUCUGUAGCGGGUCUGAGAGGAUGAUCCGCCACACUGGAACUGAGACACGGUCCAGACUCCUACGGGAGGCAGCAGUGGGGAAUUUUGGACAAUGGGGGCAACCCUGAUCCAGCCAUGCCGCGUGAGUGAAGAAGGCCUUCGGGUUGUAAAGCUCUUUCGGCCGGGAAGAAAUCGUAUGGGUUAAUACCCUGUGCGGAUGACGGUACCGGCAUAAGAAGCACCGGCUAACUACGUG